GCCUCUCGUGAAUUUUCCAGGCAGAUGUCCCGACAAGGAUAGACGAUCUGGUCAUUCUGGGACAGCAGAUGACAAUCUGCAAGUCUGGAGCUCCUCUCUAAUAGAUGUACCCAUAUCAUCAGUUGAUCUGAAUGAGAUUCCAGAUAAGCUGCCCAUCAAAGGAACGGAAGUCGACACAGUUACAGUCACUAUGGAUAACAAUCUGAAUUAACAUAUGGUGGAAGAACAAAGACAUGCUCAAAGGCUUGAACCACAGAAAUUUUGUUUUAGAGGACCUAAGAUGGGAAACAUGGUAAGAAACUGCAUUUUUCAGAUAACCAGACAAGGAAUGGGCAUAAUGAAAGAACGUUUUAGAACUAUUACUCCUCUGACCUGACUGAUGAUGGAACGAGGAGAGAUAAAUCUUAAGAACAUAAUUGAACCUUACUGGUGGUACAUUUUCUAAGUCAUUCCAAUAAUGAUGUCUCCUAAGCUACUUCAUUCUAUUUUGCAACACUUUCAAAUUUUCUUACGUUCUGCGUCAGUACCUAAGACGCAUAUGUGUAAAUUGCCUGAUAAAAUUAGUACUCUUGAUUGGAUGCAGUCCGCUCUUCGUGAUUUCCUGCACUACUGAGUUUUCAAAUAGAACUGAAAUUUCUAUCUCGACAAAAUCUAAUUGGUCUUAGUACUCAUUUUAUAUUUCUUCCUAUUGCUGGAAGUCUAGUACUUCAGACAAAGACUUACCAGCUUAAACAACUUUAAUAUGACUAGCUUCUGAUUUCUGAAUCUGCAAUAAGGAUACAUCUGAUAUAUUCAUUGCACUCAACUGUGCUCCCAGAACCACUGGAUAUCUCAAGAAAAUGAUUUUUAAUUAGUUAAUUAUUUUGUUCCAAUUUUAUGCAUCUCUCCGAACACCCAAGAGACCAAAUAAUCAAUUAGAUUUUCAGAAAAAACUAUGCUUACUGCUUAAAACGCGAAUAAAUAACCCAUUGCAAUACUACUUCCAGCUAAAAAGGCAUAUAUAAACGUGCAUUUAACAUGUAAAGUUACAAGGAUUACAAGGAGAAAUUCCUAAAUUCCGUGUUUUACAACUAAAUAAUCAUUGCAAACACGGCAUUAUAAUCAAUACACUAUCAUUAGUGUUUUACCAUUGAUAUCAGCGCAAAAAUAAAGGAUUUUUUUGUCUGAUUAUAGAAAGAAAUGAAAACAUAUUUAGAGGGAGAAUCAUGCGAGGUAAAAAGAGAAACGUACAAUUUAAUUGCGUCAGAUAAAUAAAACGUGAUGAGAUCGUUGCAGAAGGCGACAGAGAGGAGCGACUAGCAAAAUUCCAAAGCUGAAAUCAGUUCGAAUUUAAAAAUAAAUAAAGUAAAAGAAGAUAGCAGAUCGAAUUUGGGUCCAUUUGCUUGUUUU
RNAcentral lists this long non-coding RNA (1389 nucleotides) under Nicotiana tabacum (common tobacco). RNAcentral's name for it is "long non-coding RNA (NTAB_LNC013286)". The record is from RNAcentral. Lineage: Eukaryota; Viridiplantae; Streptophyta; Magnoliopsida; Solanales; Solanaceae.